This 3119-nucleotide long non-coding RNA is filed under the name Musa acuminata (dwarf banana). Its description in RNAcentral is "long non-coding RNA (MACU_LNC004850)". The record is from RNAcentral. Lineage: Eukaryota; Viridiplantae; Streptophyta; Magnoliopsida; Zingiberales; Musaceae.
GCCUCCGUCACGCUCUCCUCUCCUCCGGCCUUCGUCCCCGACGAGUUCAGUGUCCUCUUCUCCGCUGUAUCCAACUGAAGCGUGGGAAGCUGUUCCACGAACACUCCCUUUUCUUCGAAUGCGCCAGCGAUUUCUUCGUGCGUGAAGCGCUGGUCGACAUGUGAUCCAAGUGCGGCGAUGUCUUAGGCGCUCGGCAGGUAUUCGGUAAAAUGGCUAGUAGAGAUUUGGUUUCUGGGUUUCUAUGAUUUCCGGGUAAGCGCACAGUGGCCACAACGGAGACGUUGGAUUCCUUUUGGAGCCCAACCAGGCCACCUUGUGGAAUGAUCUCCUUGCUUACGGCCGACUUGGGACUCGUAGAAUGCGAUCAAAGACAUGUUUAAGCUUGUAUGAUGAUAACAUGGCUUUGCCAGAGAUGCCAUCUCUAUAUUUGAGAUAAUGGUAAACGAUGCAGUGAUGUCAAAUGCUGCAACAUUUGCAAGUCUCAUGUCUUCUUGUAGCCAUUCAGGAUUUUAAGAGGAAGUAGGGAGUAGAGCCAAAGCUGAAUCACUCUGCAGGCAUGGUAGACAUCCUCAGGCUGUUAGGGAAGGUACACGAAGCUGAAGAGCUCAUUGAGUAAAUGUCAGUAUCUAGGGAGCUCUUCUUGGAGCCUCUCAAAUCUAUGGGGAUCUAAUAUAGGAGAAAGAAUUGCAAAUAGGAUCUUAAACACGGACCAUUCCUUUGCUGGAUAUUAUGUUCUUUUAUCUGACCUUUAUGCAUCAAGGUGGACUGAUGUAGAUAAACCGAGGAAACUAAGAUAGAGAGAAGACUGAACAAGGAUCAGGGCAUUAGCUUGAUUGAGUUAAACAACAUUUGUUAUGGAUGAUACUUCUCAUCCUAGAUAUCAGAGAAUAUAUAGUUGUAUCUGGACCAACUAGGUGUAUGGAUGAAACAAUUGGUUAAUGUUCUUUCUGUAGAUUCACACUUCACAAUGUAAAUGAUGAGAGCAAGGAAGUUGAAGUUGUGCUGUCAUAUCAUAGUUAGAGGCUCACUAUCCCUUUUGGUUUGACCAACAUGGGUCUUGGGGCUGUGAUUUGUAUAGCCAAAAAUCUCCAUCUUUGUGGAGAUUGUCAUAAUGCAAUAAAGUUUAUCUCUUAAAUGGAGAACCGAGUAGUCGUUGUACGAGAUGCAAAUUGCUUCUGUUUUUUUUAGGAUGACAUCUGUUGUGGUAGUAGUUUCUUGUAAGAAACUUCUCAUAAACUUAUAUCUUGCCUUUCUAGUUGUAAGGAAGAACAAGAAUAGAAUUGAUUUGUAACACCCCCGAUUUAGUCCCACAUCAAAAGUGGGCUAAGACUUGGAUUUGCUUAUAUGGGUCUGAUUGAUAUACUAUUAUUAACUUUAGUUUAUACAUAAUGGUUUAUGCUAAAAAAUGUUAAUAGAUCAGUCUAUCCCAUUAGACUAUAACAUUGAUGAAAUAUGAAGAUUUCGACAAGUAGAAAAACACACCAAGCUAUCAUAUUUGGCAAAUUUAUGUUGAACAUAUAAUUAUGAACUUAGGAAAUAAUGUUAUUUCAUGAUUGGCCAUAUCUUUAUUAUUCUUACAAAUUGAACCAACAAAUACACAAAUAAUCCAACUAAGAUGGCCAUGCAACUAUCAUGGUUUGAGAAGUCAUGCUUAUUAGUAUUUUGUAAAUGAGAUAGGUACUCAGAGUUUACCUAAUCACCACGUGUAGAUCACAUCCACCACACUCUGAUUUGAGGAUACUUCUACUUUCAGAGCUAAACAAUUCAACUCCUUUGGCUCUUACAGUCACCCCUAGCAACAUAUCUUCCAUAAACUGUCCCUGGUAUCUUCCCAUGGAGGUUUGGAUGUCUAAAGUAAGCACCAAGAAUUUUUCAAGGGGAAAAAUUUUGCAAAUCCCUUUGACCUAGAACAAAUGUAUCAUUCAAGUAUGAAUUUUCCUUAUAAGGCAAAUUUAAACCUGCUAAUAUUGUGUUGUGUUCAUGCCAAGUUGGCAUGUUGGAUCAAACUUGACACCCCUGAUCUUAUUACUCUGUUGAUAUUACUCAUACAGGGGUAGUUAAAUCGUUACUCAAGGUGUAACAUAAACCUGAGUUCAUGCACGCAAUGGCUGCAUUGGAGAUUUUAUUGUAUUUUAACAAUUCACCCUCAAUCUCAUUUUAAAUUGUUUUAUCUGAGAUUGAGUGUUCCUCUACACUGAUUUGCAUGUUUGAUAUCUAUAUUCACUUUUAGUCUCUACUGUAGUAGUUGAUCAAAUAAGACAAUCUUUGGAAACCAAGAAAGCUAACAACAAAAUUAUGUUAUCCAAUGCAUUGCCUUCUAGCUUAAAAGACUUCAUUAUAGUAUUUGACUGCAAAUUUUUUAGGUAUCUGAUUCUGAACACCCAACUCCAGGUGGCAUAAGGCCAAAGUUACUUGACUUGUUGGAUGAUUAGCUGUAUUGAUGGUAUGGAUUGUAACAGAUGAAGAGUUUGACCUUGGUGCUUGGAAGGCUAUGAGCUUUGCAAUGAGCUUCUUUAUUGCGUGGAGGCAACUAAGCCAUGUUCCAUUUGAUGGCAAUGGCAGCAGUGGACCCCUCUUUUGCCAACCAGGUUUUAGUAGGUAACCGAACUCCUUUGCAGCUGCCACGUAUAGUUUAGACUAUAAUUCCAUUGGGACUUGGGAGUAUCUUGCCAGUUGUUUUAUCUUGGCAUUAGAAAGCUUACAUGUUUAUUGUGAUUAUUCUAGUCAAGGAAGAAACAGGAACAAUCGUUCUUCUUCUGAUUCCUUCUUGUGGCUGUUUGUAUUUAUGUUGGUGCACCAUUUUUGCUGAAACCGCAGAUAACUCAAUGUCUGUUCUCAUGAACCUCUGUGCUUAAAAGUCAUUGUAAUCUAGGUCAAGCAUGGGCAGGAAAUGGGUUUUGGGAUUAGUAGUUGCAUAGAGGAUGGACAUGGAAAGAGCUUGCAGAACAUCUAUGCUAGAGGAUGGUCCAGUGUAAGGACAGAUGCUGGUUGUUGUUGUUGUUGCAAGACUGUUUGAAUUCAAGCAACUUUAGUUGUUGCAAGACAGUAGGAUGCAUUGUAACUUCUAUAUAUCAAGGAUCAUAAAUCAUGGAGGAUGUUUUGGCUUUGCAAUCUUUUCU